Molecule: non-coding RNA, 22 nt
Filed under: Arabidopsis thaliana (thale cress)
Lineage: Eukaryota; Viridiplantae; Streptophyta; Magnoliopsida; Brassicales; Brassicaceae
Source: RNAcentral
GAUACUGGAUGCAUGGUCCUUU